This 658-nucleotide small RNA is filed under the name Histoplasma capsulatum var. duboisii H88. RNAcentral's name for it is "Histoplasma capsulatum H88 hypothetical RNA". Lineage: Eukaryota; Fungi; Ascomycota; Eurotiomycetes; Onygenales; Ajellomycetaceae. The record is from RNAcentral.
UGUUCUGCUCCCCCCGAAUUAUACGCCUACAACCUCGACUAUCAAGGCCCAUCCAUCCCUGUUCCUGGACGUUACAUGGUUUAGUCCUAGUACCUUGAAAGUCGUUGGGAGGGUUUUGGGGUCGUCUCUGUGAGGACCGUAGGAAAAUCAGAGUCGCCUUCAAUGAAGUGCUGUUGUACGCGUGUCCAUCCGCCCUUGUUAAUGAGAUAAUUAUUAUGGUUGAUCGUAAAUAGUGGACUUUACCACAACGACGCGCUGCCGUGGGAUUUACGCUUAAAAAAUAUAAACUAUGACGAGGAAACAACAAAUGGUAUUUGUGAUUAACUCUCGACCUGAGCCAAUUCAACCGAAUAUUCCUCGUUGUCUGCCUUCCGAUUCUGAGAGGCACAGAUAUAUAUUCAACUAUUCAGCAAACCGCAGUCUUCGAGGACUACGAUCGUGAGGAGCGGGAUGACUACUACUGCUAAUGGAGGAGGUGGGAACUCGGAAAGGAUGUGUGGCUUCUCUGGCUUUCGUUUUCUUUUAGCUGAUCAGUCAACAGCGGCUUUUCUUGGCCAAUGUUGAAUUCUCCCAUGCGGAGCAACCUUAGCUGACAUUGUUAGCCACUGCAUCCACCUCUUACCUUAUAGAACUACAAUUCGCGUUACUUUCUUCGCCG